RNAcentral lists this ribosomal RNA (2684 nucleotides) under Escherichia coli. RNAcentral's name for it is "partial 23S ribosomal RNA". It matches the Rfam family "Bacterial large subunit ribosomal RNA". Lineage: Bacteria; Pseudomonadati; Pseudomonadota; Gammaproteobacteria; Enterobacterales; Enterobacteriaceae. The record is from RNAcentral.
CGAGGAAAAGAAAUCAACCGAGAUUCCCCCAGUAGCGGCGAGCGAACGGGGAGCAGCCCAGAGCCUGAAUCAGUGUGUGUGUUAGUGGAAGCGUCUGGAAAGGCGCGCGAUACAGGGUGACAGCCCCGUACACAAAAAUGCACAUGCUGUGAGCUCGAUGAGUAGGGCGGGACACGUGGUAUCCUGUCUGAAUAUGGGGGGACCAUCCUCCAAGGCUAAAUACUCCUGACUGACCGAUAGUGAACCAGUACCGUGAGGGAAAGGCGAAAAGAACCCCGGCGAGGGGAGUGAAAAAGAACCUGAAACCGUGUACGUACAAGCAGUGGGAGCACGCUUAGGCGUGUGACUGCGUACCUUUUGUAUAAUGGGUCAGCGACUUAUAUUCUGUAGCAAGGUUAACCGAAUAGGGGAGCCGAAGGGAAACCGAGUCUUAACUGGGCGUUAAGUUGCAGGGUAUAGACCCGAAACCCGGUGAUCUAGCCAUGGGCAGGUUGAAGGUUGGGUAACACUAACUGGAGGACCGAACCGACUAAUGUUGAAAAAUUAGCGGAUGACUUGUGGCUGGGGGUGAAAGGCCAAUCAAACCGGGAGAUAGCUGGUUCUCCCCGAAAGCUAUUUAGGUAGCGCCUCGUGAAUUCAUCUCCGGGGGUAGAGCACUGUUUCGGCAAGGGGGUCAUCCCGACUUACCAACCCGAUGCAAACUGCGAAUACCGGAGAAUGUUAUCACGGGAGACACACGGCGGGUGCUAACGUCCGUCGUGAAGAGGGAAACAACCCAGACCGCCAGCUAAGGUCCCAAAGUCAUGGUUAAGUGGGAAACGAUGUGGGAAGGCCCAGACAGCCAGGAUGUUGGCUUAGAAGCAGCCAUCAUUUAAAGAAAGCGUAAUAGCUCACUGGUCGAGUCGGCCUGCGCGGAAGAUGUAACGGGGCUAAACCAUGCACCGAAGCUGCGGCAGCGACGCUGAUGCGUUGUUGGGUAGGGGAGCGUUCUGUAAGCCUGCGAAGGUGUGCUGUGAGGCAUGCUGGAGGUAUCAGAAGUGCGAAUGCUGACAUAAGUAACGAUAAAGCGGGUGAAAAGCCCGCUCGCCGGAAGACCAAGGGUUCCUGUCCAACGUUAAUCGGGGCAGGGUGAGUCGACCCCUAAGGCGAGGCCGAAAGGCGUAGUCGAUGGGAAACAGGUUAAUAUUCCUGUACUUGGUGUUACUGCGAAGGGGGGACGGAGAAGGCUAUGUUGGCCGGGCGACGGUUGUCCCGGUUUAAGCGUGUAGGCUGGUUUUCCAGGCAAAUCCGGAAAAUCAAGGCUGAGGCGUGAUGACGAGGCACUACGGUGCUGAAGCAACAAAUGCCCUGCUUCCAGGAAAAGCCUCUAAGCAUCAGGUAACAUCAAAUCGUACCCCAAACCGACACAGGUGGUCAGGUAGAGAAUACCAAGGCGCUUGAGAGAACUCGGGUGAAGGAACUAGGCAAAAUGGUGCCGUAACUUCGGGAGAAGGCACGCUGAUAUGUAGGUGAAGCGACUUGCUCGUGGAGCUGAAAUCAGUCGAAGAUACCAGCUGGCUGCAACUGUUUAUUAAAAACACAGCACUGUGCAAACACGAAAGUGGACGUAUACGGUGUGACGCCUGCCCGGUGCCGGAAGGUUAAUUGAUGGGGUCAGCGCAAGCGAAGCUCUUGAUCGAAGCCCCGGUAAACGGCGGCCGUAACUAUAACGGUCCUAAGGUAGCGAAAUUCCUUGUCGGGUAAGUUCCGACCUGCACGAAUGGCGUAAUGAUGGCCAGGCUGUCUCCACCCGAGACUCAGUGAAAUUGAACUCGCUGUGAAGAUGCAGUGUACCCGCGGCAAGACGGAAAGACCCCGUGAACCUUUACUAUAGCUUGACACUGAACAUUGAGCCUUGAUGUGUAGGAUAGGUGGGAGGCUUUGAAGUGUGGACGCCAGUCUGCAUGGAGCCGACCUUGAAAUACCACCCUUUAAUGUUUGAUGUUCUAACGUUGACCCGUAAUCCGGGUUGCGGACAGUGUCUGGUGGGUAGUUUGACUGGGGCGGUCUCCUCCUAAAGAGUAACGGAGGAGCACGAAGGUUGGCUAAUCCUGGUCGGACAUCAGGAGGUUAGUGCAAUGGCAUAAGCCAGCUUGACUGCGAGCGUGACGGCGCGAGCAGGUGCGAAAGCAGGUCAUAGUGAUCCGGUGGUUCUGAAUGGAAGGGCCAUCGCUCAACGGAUAAAAGGUACUCCGGGGAUAACAGGCUGAUACCGCCCAAGAGUUCAUAUCGACGGCGGUGUUUGGCACCUCGAUGUCGGCUCAUCACAUCCUGGGGCUGAAGUAGGUCCCAAGGGUAUGGCUGUUCGCCAUUUAAAGUGGUACGCGAGCUGGGUUUAGAACGUCGUGAGACAGUUCGGUCCCUAUCUGCCGUGGGCGCUGGAGAACUGAGGGGGGCUGCUCCUAGUACGAGAGGACCGGAGUGGACGCAUCACUGGUGUUCGGGUUGUCAUGCCAAUGGCACUGCCCGGUAGCUAAAUGCGGAAGAGAUAAGUGCUGAAAGCAUCUAAGCACGAAACUUGCCCCGAGAUGAGUUCUCCCUGACUCCUUGAGAGUCCUGAAGGAACGUUGAAGACGACGACGUUGAUAGGCCGGGUGUGUAAGCGCAGCGAUGCGUUGAGCUAACCGGUACUAAUGAACCGUGAG